UAUUACUGGAAUACAAUUACAAAUACAAAGUAGGUAAAGAAUGGAGAAGUUGGUGCCAAGGAAGAGAAACAAAUGAUGUGUGGUCUAGGAUGUCUUUUGGGCUUGUAAUUACUGCAUUUUGACAGUAUAAUGAACUGUAUUUUUUGUUCAAUUUGAUGGUAAAUUGGAGGUCUUAUUAUGACCAAGUGUCUGUAAGUUUUUGGGGGUCAUAAUUUUGCAUCCAACAAUCAGUCAAACUGAAAUUUGUUGUUUGUGUAAUGCUG
Molecule: long non-coding RNA, 263 nt
Filed under: Nicotiana benthamiana
Lineage: Eukaryota; Viridiplantae; Streptophyta; Magnoliopsida; Solanales; Solanaceae
Description: long non-coding RNA (NBEN_LNC005928)
Source: RNAcentral